Molecule: long non-coding RNA, 801 nt
Filed under: Gallus gallus (chicken)
Lineage: Eukaryota; Metazoa; Chordata; Aves; Galliformes; Phasianidae
Description: lncRNA (ENSGALG00010020526.1)
Source: RNAcentral
CCCCUGUUGAAAGCAACCCCUUCUGCAUCCUAUUAAAACCUGUCAGCACCGUGCAGCCCUCCCUGCCAGGGCACUGGGAUGAGGGCAAAGUGAAGCUGGGACCGUGGAGAGCACUGGGGAGUAAAGGCACAGCACUCAGUACUGAUGCAAUGAAAUCUCCAGGAAGGCACAACCACCAUGUGAAAAGCAGAACAAGCCAAGACCUUGGCUUAGAAAGCUUUCUGCAGGAAUUCUCCCAUUGUAACGAGCCUUUGACCUAACCUCCAUUUCUUCUAAUACUGCCUGACAUCUUCCCAUCAUAUGUUAACAGUGUGUGUCUUCAGUGAAAGGCAAACUGACUCUGAUGCUCUGGGCCUAAAGAAAAGCAACGUGGAGGAAGAAAGAAAGAGAAAUCUCGACCUCACUGGUCCUUCCUAGCAAUCUGUUGCUCCAGCAACUGAAAAAUCAAACAAUGAUGUCAAGAAGAUGCAGCCAGCCACACUAAACCCGAUGUCCAGUUGCUGGAGCAACUCGUUGUUAAAGCAAUUAGCCCAUGCUCAUUACUGGACGUAUGGGGAUACAUCCAAGCGCUCACCGAGACGGGAGGCACAGCACACAACGUGGCACAAACGGGUUCUCCCAGGUCUUGGGCUCCAUUGUAAAACGUAGCAUCAAACCUUCACUACAUCGGGCCAUCAGCAGAUGCCAGGCAGAACACACCUCCUCCCUGGGAAGGGGGGAACCUUGCAAAAUCUGGCAAGAAAAGCAUCCAAGCAGCGAGCAAAGAGCCAACGGUGGCAAACAGGCUGUGAAAGCACUACC